CCUACGGGAGGCAGCAGUGGGGGAAUCUUGCGCAAUGGGCGAAAGCCUGACGCAGCCAUGCCGCGUGAAUGAUGAAGGUCUUAGGAUUGUAAAAUUCUUUCACCGGGGGACGAUAAUGACGGUACCCGGAGAAGAAGCCCCGGCUAACUUCGUGCCAGCAGCCGCGGUAAUACGAAGGGGGGCUAGCGUUGCUCGGAAUUACUGGGCGUAAAGGGAGCGUAGGCGGAUAGUUUAGUCAGAGGUGAAAGCCCAGGGCUCAACCUUGGAAUUGCCUUUGAUACUGGCUAUCUUGAGUGUGGGAGAGGUUAGCGGAACUCCGAGUGUAGAGGUGAAAUUCGUAGAUAUUCGGAAGAACACCAGUGGCGAAGGCGGCUAACUGGCCCAUUACUGACGCUGAGGCUCGAAAGCGUGGGGAGCAAACAGGAUUAGAUACCCUGGUAGUCCACGCCGUAAACGAUGAGUGCUAGUUGUCGGCAUGCAUGCAUGUCGGUGACGCNGCUACGACAUAGACACUCCGCCGUGGGAGGUACGGUCGCGAGAUAAACUACGAAAGAAGUAGACGGCGUGAGACGUCGCCGACGGACGACGACGAGGGAGGUUAGG
RNAcentral lists this ribosomal RNA (603 nucleotides) under uncultured bacterium. Its description in RNAcentral is "bacterial SSU rRNA". The stretch from base 1 to 519 matches the Rfam family "Bacterial small subunit ribosomal RNA", at positions 338 to 873 of the family's 1533-position model. The record is from RNAcentral.